UACGUAGGGAGCAAGCGUUGUCCGGAAUCAUUGGGCGUAAAGCGCGCGUAGGCGGCCCGGUCAGUCCGUCGUGAAAGUCAAAGGCUCAACCUUUGAAUGUCGAUGGAUACUGCCGGGCUAGAGUCCGGAAGAGGCGAGUGGAAUUCCUGGUGUAGCGGUGGAAUGCGCAGAUAUCAGGAGGAACACCGAUAGCGAAGGCAGCUCGCUGGGACGGUACUGACGCUAAGGCGCGAAAGCGUGGGGAGCGAACAGG
This 253-nucleotide ribosomal RNA is filed under the name uncultured bacterium. Its description in RNAcentral is "partial 16S ribosomal RNA". It matches the Rfam family "Bacterial small subunit ribosomal RNA", at positions 524 to 776 of the family's 1533-position model. The record is from RNAcentral.